AUGCUCGUGUUCUCGAGCACAUGGAAAUACAGCCAAGGGUCGCGGCCGGUAUGUUCCCCAUUUCAGGAUCAUGGCGCUGGCAUUCUUGAGAGGCAACUGUCGGUGUCCACUUCGUAUGUCUCUGCUGAUCUGCAGGUCCCAGGCCGCUUUCUGCUCUGCUGCCACGCCAUGACCGGAGACAUCUUCCGGCGCAUCGUCGGCAAAGAUGAAGAAGAACAUGACGAUGAGCUUCCCGACGAGGAGCCGGCGUUUUUGCCGGUUGAACGACCUCACCAUGCGCCUGCAUGCAUGCACGGCUCUUCCUCGACAGGUAGUACCUGCUCGUGCCUUGAUGAGGUCGUUCAACCAGCAAAACGGCGGCGGUCGUCGGCGACGGCGGGUCCCGGCGGUGCCUAA
This 396-nucleotide ribosomal RNA is filed under the name Triticum aestivum (bread wheat). Its description in RNAcentral is "partial small subunit ribosomal RNA". Lineage: Eukaryota; Viridiplantae; Streptophyta; Magnoliopsida; Poales; Poaceae. The record is from RNAcentral.